CGGGCGCUGCCGUGCCGGGAGGGCUCCUGGGGCGAGUUAACGCGUUUUCGGUGCAGAUGUUGGGGUCCCCGUGUAACGCGAGCACCGCCGGAUUUGCCGCCGUCCCGGGACGAGACGUUUGGCCGUUACUGCGCUGGGCGGCACCCAUCGCCGGCCCCGGCUGGCCGGGGGGGUUCGGGCAGCCCCGGCGGGGCGAUCCCCGGGCACCGGGGCGCGGUGUCGGCGCCCGGCCCCCCAGCCUGGGGCGCCGAUGGACGGGAUUUCCUGGGGAGCUCCGAAUCGGGGGAGCGGGGCCGAGCCGCUCGUUCCUGCCCAGGUGACGGGGAGGAAGAGGAGUCGGGAGGAGCCACCCGGAGCUGGAGGCACCGGCCGCGGCUCCCCCAGUUUUCUCUUGCCGGGGGUUGGCUGUUGGUUGGUUUGGGCUCCUCUUUGCUUCAUGUCCAGCUCCUGGAUGGCUCCAGUUCGGUUUUGCCACCGGUUUGAGGUCCAGCUCCAGGAUGGCUCCAGUCCGUUUGCAGCUCCAGCUCACGGAUGGCUUUGCCCAGUUCCAGCCUCUGGUCCUUGUGGCUCCAGCUCAACUGCAGGUCUGGCUCCAGUUCAGUUUUGGCUGCAGCUGCUCACCUUCACCUCCACCUUGGUUUGCUCCCUCAGCUCAUUGGAUUUGGGUCCAGCUCCCAGCUGGGUCCAGCUCAUCUUCUUCUCCAGUUGAUGUGUGGCUCCAGCUGGUUUUCACCUCCAGCCAAUUCCAGCUUGUGCUUAAAACUAUCUGGGCUUUGGGCAAGGUCAUAAAUCAAUCACAACAUGUAUAUGAACUGUCAUAAGGGUACACAGGUUGGCUGAGUCAUUACUGAACAAUAAACACACGCUAUGGGGUGGUUGGACACCCCAAAACACUGUGAAAAACACCUUUCGCUCCAGA
Tyto alba (common barn owl) is the source of this 919-nucleotide long non-coding RNA. RefSeq lists it as uncharacterized. Lineage: Eukaryota; Metazoa; Chordata; Aves; Strigiformes; Tytonidae. The record is from RefSeq and is a predicted model, not a curated record. The transcript is spliced from 2 exons.